UGCAGUCGACGGUGAAGCCCAGCUUGCUGGGUGGAUCAGUGGCGAACGGGUGAGUAACACGUGAGCAACCUGCCCCUGACUCUGGGAUAAGCGCUGGAAACGGCGUCUAAUACUGGAUAUGUACUACGGCCGCAUGGUCUGUGGUUGGAAAGAUUUUUCGGUUGGGGAUGGGCUCGCGGCCUAUCAGCUUGUUGGUGAGGUAAUGGCUCACCAAGGCGUCGACGGGUAGCCGGCCUGAGAGGGUGACCGGCCACACUGGGACUGAGACACGGCCCAGACUCCUACGGGAGGCAGCAGUGGGGAAUAUUGCACAAUGGGCGCAAGCCUGAUGCAGCAACGCCGCGUGAGGGAUGACGGCCUUCGGGUUGUAAACCUCUUUUAGCAGGGAAGAAGCGAAAGUGACGGUACCUGCAGAAAAAGCGCCGGCUAACUACGUGCCAGCAGCCGCGGUAAUACGUAGGGCGCAAGCGUUAUCCGGAAUUAUUGGGCGUAAAGAGCUCGUAGGCGGUUUGUCGCGUCUGCUGUGAAAUCCCGAGGCUCAACCUCGGGCCUGCAGUGGGUACGGGCAGACUAGAGUGCGGUAGGGGAGAUUGGAAUUCCUGGUGUAGCGGUGGAAUGCGCAGAUAUCAGGAGGAACACCGAUGGCGAAGGCAGAUCUCUGGGCCGUAACUGACGCUGANGAGCGAAAGGGUGGGGAGCAAACAGGCUUAGAUACCCUGGUAGUCCACCCCGUAAACGUUGGGAACUAGUUGUGGGGUCCAUUCCACGGAUUCCGUGACGCAGCUAACGCAUUAAGUUCCCCGCCUGGGGAGUACGGCCGCAAGGCUAAAACUCNNAGGAAUUGACGGGGACCCGCACAAGCGGCGGANCAUGCGGAUUAAUUCGAUGCAACGCGAAGAACCUUACCAAGGCUUGACAUAUACGANAACGGNNCANAAAUGGUCAACUCUUUGG
RNAcentral lists this ribosomal RNA (954 nucleotides) under Microbacterium sp. RNAcentral describes it as "bacterial SSU rRNA". It matches the Rfam family "Bacterial small subunit ribosomal RNA", at positions 56 to 1021 of the family's 1533-position model. The record is from RNAcentral. Lineage: Bacteria; Bacillati; Actinomycetota; Actinomycetes; Micrococcales; Microbacteriaceae.